RNAcentral lists this unclassified non-coding RNA (556 nucleotides) under Hevea brasiliensis (rubber tree). Lineage: Eukaryota; Viridiplantae; Streptophyta; Magnoliopsida; Malpighiales; Euphorbiaceae. The record is from RNAcentral.
GUGAAUAACAUAUAUUGUUUAAUAAGAGCAAAUGGCAAACAUUUUUUCUUAUUUUUUGAGAAGGCAUGCAAUUCUUUUUGAACAAAAUUUAUAGAUGUAUUGAGCGGUUAAAGUCAAACAGUAUUCACAGUGUCUGCCAGGGCACGCAAAAUGCAACCCAAGCCAGCUUUCUCGGUCAACUUUUCAUGUAUACGUAAACACUGGUCACACGUGGGUCGAUCUCCUGUAGACAAACCCCUAUACAAGUACUUCAUAAGAAUAUCAUAGUACUCAGGGUCCAAAGUAGAGAACAUCCCAUCCACAUCUUNAUCUUUUAUAGCCAUGAUCGCUCUAUGCACCACUAUCCAAUUCGCAGACUUGCAUCGCUCGUCUCUAGUCUUAGGAGGCGAGCCUUCGAGGGCGGUUUUGAGAGCUUCCACAGGUUUGAACAGUUUAAGUAAGCUUUCGAUCUUGCGAGAUUUGUGUUCGAUUCUGGUGAUUAUGGCCUCUGCAUUAUCUGCCUCCACAAAUUCCUCCUUCCCAGCCAUCGGAGAUCUGCUCUCUCGCCCUCUUUUCG